GAUGAACGCUGGCGGCGUGCCUAAUACAUGCAAGUCGAGCGAACAGACGAGGAGCUUGCUCCUCUGACGUUAGCGGCGGACGGGUGAGUAACACGUGGAUAACCUACCUAUAAGACUGGGAUAACUUCGGGAAACCGGAGCUAAUACCGGAUAAUAUAUUGAACCGCAUGGUUCAAUAGUGAAAGACGGUUUUGCUGUCACUUAUAGAUGGAUCCGCGCCGCAUUAGCUAGUUGGUAAGGUAACGGCUUACCAAGGCGACGAUGCGUAGCCGACCUGAGAGGGUGAUCGGCCACACUGGAACUGAGACACGGUCCAGACUCCUACGGGAGGCAGCAGUAGGGAAUCUUCCGCAAUGGGCGAAAGCCUGACGGAGCAGCGCCGCGUGAGUGAUGAAGGUCUUCGGAUCGUAAAACUCUGUUAUUAGGGAAGAACAAAUGUGUAAGUAACUAUGCACGUCUUGACGGUACCUAAUCAGAAAGCCACGGCUAACUACGUG
Molecule: ribosomal RNA, 497 nt
Filed under: uncultured bacterium
Lineage: Bacteria
Description: partial 16S ribosomal RNA
Rfam family: Bacterial small subunit ribosomal RNA
Source: RNAcentral